GGGAACUUGGUCAAGUUGCUAAGACACUGGCGGGGACAGAAUAGUGCAAACAUUAAGAGCACACUGCCGGAGACACGAGUUCGAAUCUCGUAGUUCCCA
This 99-nucleotide transfer RNA is filed under the name Caudoviricetes sp. RNAcentral's name for it is "tRNA-OTHER". It matches the Rfam family "tRNA". Rfam says of the family: Transfer RNA (tRNA) molecules are approximately 80 nucleotides in length. Their secondary structure includes four short double-helical elements and three loops (D, anti-codon, and T loops). The record is from RNAcentral. Lineage: Duplodnaviria; Heunggongvirae; Uroviricota; Caudoviricetes.